Long non-coding RNA from Ceratina calcarata, 919 nucleotides. RefSeq lists it as uncharacterized. NCBI's taxonomy places the organism in Eukaryota, Metazoa, Arthropoda, Insecta, Hymenoptera, Apidae. The record is from RefSeq and is a predicted model, not a curated record. The transcript is spliced from 2 exons.
GAACCAACUGUAACGUAAUGACGAAUGAGGUGGUGUGCUGUUCACAUCACAGUGUUAAGUAAUAUACCACACGUGGACCGUCUUUGAUUGGAACUAACGAUUGCUUUGGAAGAUCCAUUGAAGAUCCAUUCGGCUUCCACUCGGACGUUUCUCUCCCUGUGCGGUCUCAAUCCAACCAAUUCUUGCACGACUUCACCUUUCCCGAUGACACCCGGUAACAGACCUCUGCACCUCUCACUAAUCGCCGCAGACUCGUGAGGGCAAACUUUUGUAUUCUCGCAAUCGAAAUUUCUGGAGCCACCAAGAGUGACCAUACCAUUGAAGCCUGGUAUAAUGGCAGUAGUCAAACCAAUUAUUCCACCGCCGACUACAGCUACUUUCAUCUUCGAUUUCUGUUCGCUCUGCGUUCUGCCGAAAGAUUCCAAAGACGACUGCAGCUGCAGUUAGCAGCUGCAGCAGGAGCAGGGCGGAGAGGAACGGAUGUACUCUGACACUCUGACGCGGCGGCGGGACAUAAUAAAUUCUUAUCACAGUUCUUCUUCGUUUUGCAUCGUGUGACUGUGUGGAUAAACUCGUUUCGCAAUUGAUCAGACAUGGUAGCGUUGUUAUUAAAAGAAUUACAUUUAUUUCAUAUAAAUAGAUAAUUUUCUAAACGUCCCUUCAUGGAAGUUUAACCGCGGAAGUAAAUCUUCGCCUCGAAAGGAAAAAAGUAACAGUACGUUUAAUGUAAUUACAGUCUUGUACAUACGCAUGUUAAUCAUCGAGCGGCGUAUGUAUGUACAGACGACGAACAUUGGAAGUUUUCUAAGGCUCAUCUUCUUUUUGUCUAUGUCAAUCAUUUAGAAAUUUAUCUAAAACCUACCUAUAAUUAUGUACAAAUAUUUCCAAGUGCAAAUAAAAUCGCGAACAAUUAGAGAUA